GAUGAACGCUAGCUACAGGCUUAACACAUGCAAGUCGCGGGGCAGCAUGGGGGUUGCUUGCAACCCCUGAUGGCGACCGGCGCACGGGUGAGUAACGCGUAUCCAACCUGCCCUUCACCACGGGAUAACCCGGCGAAAGUCGGACUAAUGCCGUAUGUUGUCCAUUGACGGCAUCCGAUUUGGACGCAAGGCUUGGCGGGGCAAGGAUGGGGAUGCGUCCGAUUAGCUUGACGGCGGGGUAACGGCCCACCGUGGCUACGAUCGGUAGGGGUUCUGAGAGGAAGGUCCCCCACACUGGAACUGAGACACGGUCCAGACGCCUACGGGAGGCAGCAGUGAGGAAUAUUGGUCAAUGGGCGUAAGCCUGAACCAGCCAAGUAGCGUGCAGGAUGACGGCCCUAUGGGUUGUAAACUGCGUUUAUGCGGGGAUAAAGUGGCCCACGUGUGGGCUUUUGCAGGUACCGCAUGAAUAAGGACCGGCUAAUUCCGUG
This 491-nucleotide ribosomal RNA is filed under the name uncultured bacterium. RNAcentral describes it as "partial 16S ribosomal RNA". It matches the Rfam family "Bacterial small subunit ribosomal RNA", at positions 28 to 507 of the family's 1533-position model. The record is from RNAcentral.